This 264-nucleotide long non-coding RNA is filed under the name Elaeis guineensis (African oil palm). RNAcentral's name for it is "long non-coding RNA (EGUI_LNC040380)". Lineage: Eukaryota; Viridiplantae; Streptophyta; Magnoliopsida; Arecales; Arecaceae. The record is from RNAcentral.
UCUCAACAUCAGUCAUAUGAUAGAUUCGAUUAGCUCAAAUUCAGUUGUGACUUCUAUGAAAACUCUUUUCCAUCAAUCACACUAUUGUGGCUAUAGAUUCUCAGACUUAGCCUCUCAAAUCUCAUAGGACUACUCCUUUCUACCAAGGUUGAUAGAUUCCAUCUUGAUGCACACUCUACUCCUACAGUGGACCAACUAUCGCCAAUAUCCAUUACAAGAGCUCAUUGAGAUACAUAUUUAUGUGUCAAUCAAACUUCAGCAGCC